CAUCGUUUGUCGCUCAUACUAAUUGAAUAGUAUGGUGAAGUGUUUAGAUCGCAACGAUGUGGGGUGACUCAUUGCCCGCGAUGUAGCGAGAAGUCUACUGAACCUUGCCAUUUAGAGGGAAAAGUCGUAGUAAAGUUUUCGUAGAUGAACUUGCAUAAG
RNAcentral lists this ribosomal RNA (159 nucleotides) under Malus domestica (apple). RNAcentral's name for it is "rRNA MD14G0188000". It matches the Rfam family "Eukaryotic small subunit ribosomal RNA", at positions 1667 to 1823 of the family's 1831-position model. The record is from RNAcentral. Lineage: Eukaryota; Viridiplantae; Streptophyta; Magnoliopsida; Rosales; Rosaceae.